Molecule: long non-coding RNA, 2438 nt
Filed under: Capsicum annuum
Lineage: Eukaryota; Viridiplantae; Streptophyta; Magnoliopsida; Solanales; Solanaceae
Description: long non-coding RNA (CANN_LNC003370)
Source: RNAcentral
CCAUAUCAUCAUCCAUGGCCAUUGGCCACCACUAUCUCCUGAACUCCUGUUGAGUUCAAAUCUUUAUAUCCUAAAUUACCAGUGAAACGUCCUUUGUUGUCAAUUUUCCAUACCAGAGUAUCAUUUUCCCUAGUUAAAUUGUUGAAAGUGUCCAAUUGUGUCAUAGAAACCUGCUGCUAUCUUGUCAUCUCCCAAUCAUUCAGAUAUCUUCUAAGCUGAAGACUCCAGCCUUGUCUUGUCCACAAGUCAACUACUGCAGUUUGUUGAAAUUGGCACAAAAUGUGCAAAUUUGGAUACAUUUGUUUCAAAGGUUCUUGUCCACACCAUCUGGAAUGUCAUUCUAGAAGGAAACCUUCGGACCAUUACCAAUUUCGAAAUUGGAUUUGGUUAAAACUAAAAAUUGGAUCUUUGCAGGUUCAGCCCAUAUUCGCCAUUUUGGGUUCAAGUAUUAAAAAGGGCAGCCCGGUGCACUAAAGCUACUGCUAUGCACGGUGUCCGGGAAAGGGCCCCACUACAAGGGUACUCAUAAUCGUACAAAGUCUCAAGACCUGAAUAACAGAAUUGUUCUGCAAAGAACAAUAACCAAAAUAAAAUAUUAGAAAGACAUAUAUAUAUAUAUAUAUAUAUAUAAGACUUUCAGACCAAUUAUGGAUUGGAGAGCAACGUAUUCAUGAGGGAUUUGGCCCCUAAACCAAUUACUACCUAGAUCUCUGCAUCAUCCCAAAAGCUAUGUUAAUUUGGAUAAAGUUCCCAAUAUACGUGAUACCAGAAAAAAUUUAAUUAUCAAACGGAAUAGAGAGAGAACUUUCUAUGUGCAUCAUAUAUAGUAAGUAAUUCACAUACACACUCAGAAACACAAUGCCCAUCCGGAGAGAGGGGGAGAGAGUACGCACAUAUAUGUUAAAGAUGUGCUAAUGGAUUUCGGCACUUCUCCAGAUAAUUCAUUGAAACUCAAGUCCCUAUAUCAGAGAGAAAAGAGACAGAUGUAAUUAUCCAAUACUCUAAAUAUAGGAAAUUAAGAAAGCCUUUAGGAACAUAUACCAACAACCAGUUUCCCAGUUUUUAAGAACAACUCAACUCAAAUGAUUUCUGCAAUUGUGGGUCUGGUUCAAGUUGAUUUCCUUUCAAGCACUUCCCCGUUGCAAAAGUUGGCAUUACUCUAAAAUUAUGCUGAUAGUUUGCCGGAGAACUGCAACCGCCGGGGUCGGGUCGGGUCGGGUCGGGUCGGGUCGAUUGUGAUGGUGCAGUCGAGGGUUUUGAGAGAAAGCGGGCUUUUGAGGUUGUAGCUGCUUUUGAGAAAAAGGGUUUUGAGAAAAGAGGCGCUUUUUGAGAAAAUAUGGAUUCGCGGGUUUAUUCACUGACUUUCGGUUUAUUUAUUUAUUUUAAGCAUAGCGGGGGUUUCAAUCGCUUCAAAAAUAUUUAUAGUUUAUUUUUAAUGAUUGCAGGGGUUUUAACCGCUGCAAUUAUAAUUAAAAUAGCAGAGGUAAAUUUGAUAUAUUUGUGGAGGUUAAUAUCGACCCCACAAUAAAACCUCCAUAAAAUAUACUUUUUUUUGUAGUGAAUAGGACUCUAUUAAGGAAAUACUUCUAUAAAUAUUGAGAUAUACAUUAAAUUAGAGAAGAAACUGAUUUACUUAUUGGGAAAAUAUGAUAGAUGCUCAUGUAACUUGAUUCGGUUGCAUGUCUAGAUUGGUGGAUGCUUAAUUUUUUAACCCUCAACUUCUUCAUUAUUUUUGUCAACAUAAUAGAAUUCAAUAUGUGUGUAUGUAUAUAGCUUAUUUGUUUUCAUUCAAGUUAUUCUUUAGUGUCAAAAUUUUCGUUCAGACAAGAAUUAUUUUCAUCAAAACUGAAGUUUUGUGAUCACUAUUGUAUUAUUUUGUUGUAAUUUACAAGUCGGAGAUGAAUUUACAGGUGGUAAAUGAAUGUCGGUCGGCUUUGAGAAUUUUUUUAGGUAAAUGUUAGGUUUAAUUGUAUUGUUUUUAUAUCUCUGUUUUGAGAAUUUUUUUUGUGUAAAAGUAAAGUUCAGUUGUAUUAUUUUGAUAUCUCUAUUAUCGUAUUAUUUUGUUAUAGUUUACAGGUGGUAGAUGAGUGUCGGAUGGCUUUGACGAAUUUUUUGUGUAAAGCUUAGAUUUAAUUAUAUUGUUUUGAUGUCUCUAUUAUCGUAUUAUUUUGUUGCAGCUUACAGGUGAUAGAUGAAUGUCGAUCAAUUUUGAGAAUUUUUUUCGGUAAAGAUUAGGUUUAAUUAAACAAAUUCUCCAAAAGAAGUUGAAUUUAAUUAUUAUAUUCAUCUUUAUUAUGAAAACAAAUAUCCUAUUUAGUGUAACGUCUGAACUCAAUAAAAUGAAGAACAAAUGCGAGACGCGUACAUCUACACUAAUAUGGAUACAUUUGUUUCAAAGGUUCUUGUCCACACCAUCUGGAAUGUCAUUCUAGAAGGAA